RNAcentral lists this ribosomal RNA (524 nucleotides) under uncultured Actinomycetes bacterium. RNAcentral's name for it is "bacterial SSU rRNA". It matches the Rfam family "Bacterial small subunit ribosomal RNA", at positions 381 to 896 of the family's 1533-position model. Lineage: Bacteria; Bacillati; Actinomycetota; Actinomycetes. The record is from RNAcentral.
ACGUGACGCAGCAACGCCGCGUGGGGGAAGACGGCUUUCGGGUUGUAAACCCCUUUCAGUUGGGACGAAGCCUCGUCCGUUAAUAGCGGUGCGAGGUGACGGUACCUUCAUAAGAAGCCCCGGCUAACUACGUGCCAGCAGCCGCGGUAAUACGUAGGGGGCAAGCGUUGUCCGGAAUCAUUGGGCGUAAAGAGCGUGUAGGCGGUUUGGUAAGUCCGCUGUGAAAGUCAAGGGCUCAACCCUUGAAAGCCGGUGGAUACUGUCGAACUAGAGUCCGGAAGAGGCGAGUGGAAUUCCUGGUGUAGCGGUGAAAUGCGCAGAUAUCAGGAGGAACACCGAUGGCUAAGGCAGCUCGCUGGGACGGUACUGACGGUGAGACGCGAAAGCGUGGGGAGCAAACAGGAUUAGAUACCCUGGUAGUCCACGCCGUAAACGAUGGGCACUAGGUGUGGGAGGUGUCGACUCCUCCCGUGCCGCAGCUAACGCAUUAAGUGCCCCGCCUGGGGAGUACGGCCGCAAGGCUA